CCUACGGGUGGCAGCAGUGAGGAAUAUUGGUCAAUGGACGGGAGUCUGAACCAGCCAAGUCGCGUGAGGGAUGACUGCCCUGUGGAUUGUAAACUUCUUUUAUCAUGGAAUAAACACUGGGACGCGUCCCCUUUUGUAUGUACCUGAUGAAUAAGCAUCGGCUAACUCCGUGCCAGCAGCCGCGGUAAUACGGAGGAUCCGAGCGUUAUCCGGAUUUCUUGGGUUUAAAGGGGGCGCAGGUGGUUUGUUAAGUCAGUGGUGAAAGUUUGCGGCUCAACCGGAAAAAUGCAAUUGAUACUGGAAGACUGGAGUGCAGUAGAGGUGGGUGGAAUUCGAGGUGUAGCGGUGAAAUGCGUAGAUAUCUGGAAGAACACCGAUUGCGAAGGCAGCUCACUG
RNAcentral lists this ribosomal RNA (396 nucleotides) under uncultured bacterium. RNAcentral's name for it is "partial 16S ribosomal RNA". It matches the Rfam family "Bacterial small subunit ribosomal RNA", at positions 338 to 731 of the family's 1533-position model. The record is from RNAcentral.